Molecule: transfer RNA, 72 nt
Organism: Ovis aries (sheep)
Lineage: Eukaryota; Metazoa; Chordata; Mammalia; Artiodactyla; Bovidae
Rfam family: tRNA
About the family: Transfer RNA (tRNA) molecules are approximately 80 nucleotides in length.
Source: Rfam
UCCCUGGUGGCUUGGUGGUAAAGAAUCUGCUUGCCAAUGCAGGAGACACAGGUUGGAUCCCUGAUCUGGGAA